AUUGAACGCUGGCGGCAUGCUUUACACAUGCAAGUCGAACGGCAGCGCGGGCUUCGGCCUGGCGGCGAGUGGCGAACGGGUGAGUAAUGCAUCGGAACGUGCCCAGUAGUGGGGGAUAGCCCGGCGAAAGCCGGAUUAAUACCGCAUACGACCUGAGGGUGAAAGCGGGGGACCGAAAGGCCUCGCGCUAUUGGAGCGGCCGAUGUCGGAUUAGCUAGUUGGUGGGGUAAAGGCUUACCAAGGCGACGAUCCGUAGCUGGUCUGAGAGCACGACCAGCCACACUGGGACUGAGACACGGCCCAGACUCCUACGGGAGGCAGCAGUGGGGAAUUUUGGACAAUGGGGGCAACCCUGAUCCAGCCAUGCCGCGUGCGGGAAGAAGGCCUUCGGGUUGUAAACCGCUUUUGUUCGGGAAGAAAUCCUCUGGGCUAAUACCCCGGGGGGAUGACGGUACCGGAAGAAUAAGCACCGGCUAACUACGUG
This 484-nucleotide ribosomal RNA is filed under the name uncultured bacterium. RNAcentral describes it as "partial 16S ribosomal RNA". It matches the Rfam family "Bacterial small subunit ribosomal RNA", at positions 28 to 507 of the family's 1533-position model. The record is from RNAcentral.